RNAcentral lists this ribosomal RNA (1185 nucleotides) under Ascomycota sp. L226. RNAcentral's name for it is "eukaryotic LSU rRNA". The stretch from base 527 to 1185 matches the Rfam family "Eukaryotic large subunit ribosomal RNA", at positions 1 to 621 of the family's 3401-position model. Lineage: Eukaryota; Fungi; Ascomycota. The record is from RNAcentral.
UUUUUUUUUAAAAUAAAAUAAAGGUUCGAAGGUGAAGCUGCUGGAACCGGAAUCAUUAACGAUUUCGGUUUACACCGCUUUUCUACCUAUGUCUACCCUGUACACAUGUUUUCCUCGGGGGGCUUGCCCCCCGCUUAGGACUCUUUAUCAACCUUUUUGCAAUAGCAGUCAGCGUCUGAUAAUAAUUUAAAUUAUUAAAAACUUUCCAACAAUGGAUUCUCUUGGUUCUGGCAUCGAUGAAAGAACGCAGCGAAAUGCGAUAAGUAGUGUGAAUUGCUGAAAUUCAGUGAAUCCAUCGAAAUCUUUGAACGCACAUUGCGCCCCCAUGGUAUUCCAUGGGGCAAUGCCUGUUCGAGCGUCAUUUUGAAACCCUCAAGCUUUGCUUGGUGUUGGGUGUUUGUCCCGCCGUUGCGUGUGGACUCCGCCUUAAAGGAAUUGGCAGCCAGUGUUAUCCCGGCUUUUGAGCGCAGCACAAUGCGUACUCUAUGCUGGUACAGUGGCAUCCAAAAGCCCAUUUUUUACCUCUUGACCUCGGAUCCAGGUAGGGAUACCCGCUGAACUUAAGCAUAUCAAUAAGCGGAGGAAAAGAAACCAACAGGGAUUGCCCUAGUAACGGCGAGUGAAGCGGCAACAGCUCAAAUUUGAAAUCUGACCUCUUCGGGGUCCGAGUUGUAAUUUGUAGAGGGUGCUUUGGUGUUGGCUGCGGUCUAAGUUCCUUGGAACAGGGACGUCAUAGAGGGUGAGAAUCCCGUCUGUGGUCGCAUGCCUUCACCGUGGUAAAGCCCCUUCGACGAGUCGAGUUGUUUGGGGAAUGCAGCUUCUAAAUGGGGAGGUAAAUUUCCUUCUAAAGCUAAAUACUGGCCAGAGACCGGAUAGCGCACAAGUAGAGUGAUCGAAAGAUGAAAAGCACUUUGGAAAAGAGAGUCAAACAGGCACGUGAAAUUGUUGAAAGGGAAGCGCUUGCAGCCAGAACUUGCUUAUAGUUGCUCAUCCGGGCGCUCGCCCCGGUGCACUCUUCUGUAGGCAGGCCAGCAUCAGUUUGGGCGGUUGGAUAAAGGCCCUCUGUCAUGUAUCUCCUUCAGGGAAGACCUUAUAGGGGAGGCGUAAUGCAACCAGCCUGAACUGAGGUCCGCGCUCUGCUGAUGCGUCGCAAAAAGGGUUAGGCCCUGAAAAAACGGAACAAAA